UCACAAAGAAAAAAAAAGUUAUAAACUUAGAUGUAAUUUCUUCUGGUUUUUGAAAUAUCACUAGUUGAUCUAUUAACACUUGCUUUGAUUUUGGCUUUAUAUGUAACCAGAUGAGCCUUCUAAAGAACUGCCGAAGUUUUCUGUCAAACUUUUUCUUCAUUCCAGCGGGCAUGUUGCAGCGAAAUUCCAAUAUGACCAGGAUUCACAUGCUAACUUCAUCAAGAGUAUUAUAUUUCUAUUGAAAAAUUUGAAUUUUCCACAAUUAGGGGCUAUGUCUUUGGACUUGAACAAGUUCCUGCAUACUCAUGCUUUAUAGGCUAUGUUUCAUGGCAGGUAAUAAUUUCUGCUUUUCGGAGAAUCCCUAGAUCUUCUUGGAAUGCAAAAGAAAGGUAUCUCUGUCUCUCCUCCAGCAAUAAGUGCGUGUGUUCAUCCUAGCACGGUUUUCUGGAUUGGCUGUUUUGAGGGCUUAGUUAUUUGAAAAUUUUUGAGUCUGUAGGUUAUGGAUGUUCCUGCUUUCUUCCUUGUCAGAAGCAGAGAAGGUUCUAGGAAAAAUAUCUAAUUAUAAAGUUUAGUUGGAAGUGGUAAAAGCCAAAAGUAAGUCUUCCAAAUCAAAAGAUGAGUCUGAAUCUCUUAAAUUUACUCAAAAGAAUCUGAUUAGCAAGGUUUGCAUGGAAGAAGCCCUGAACAUAAUCUUGACUUGUACAAUUUGUUUGGAAGUUUUUCUUAUUACCUAGAACUAUGAUAGGUCUAUAGUUUUUACUGCAACAUUUUCUUAGGCCUUGGCCAAUAUUGGAGUAGUUUAAAUCAUUUUGACUGGUAUAUGAUCAAAACUGAAUCAUGAUAUAUUCGAUUCCAGAUAUAUACUAAUUCUGCAGAUGCCAAGAUUCCCGUUGUUCUUGAAUAUCUCAGAACUGUCAUUGAGGUAUUGCUCCCCUCCACUGCUUCAAAGCAAUAAAAUGUCAAUAAAGAAUUAGUGACUGCCGCUGUAUGUACUAUAAGAAAGUCAAGUUAGGGUCUCAACUUCUCUAGUUUCUCACCCAUCUCCUUUGAUUGGUGUGCUUGAAUGAUGCAUGGUUUUCUGUCAUCCAAUAGUUUAAAAUAUGUUCAAUGUUGGUUAAAUUGGUCUUUUCUUAUUGCUUUUAUUGCAGUCGGUGCCCCUUAAUGUAGGACCAUAAGUUGAAUGAAUUAAAUUGGCCGAACAGUGUAGUGAAAAUGUCAGCAUAUGACAUUUUAAUACGUAUGCCACAAUUAUUAUUGGUGUCAACGUUGGCUGGUCUGAGUGGUGACCAAAACAAACACGAACUGUAAACUAGACUAUAUUAAUUCUUACAUUGUGUAUGCUUAAUUUGAAAGUUUGAUUGCUUCAAUUUUUUUUGUCUCUUGCUUCCAUCUUUCUAUUUCAUAUGGGCUAGUGGUGGUUAUCACGUGUAAUAUGUUGUGAUCACUGCAGGCAGGUUGCAAGUUUCUUAUAUUUGCGCACCAUCAGCCAAUGAUAGAUGCGAUACAUGAGUGCCUUCUUAAGAAAAAAGGGGGUUGCAUCCGAAUUGAUGGAGGUACACCCGGUGCAUGAAGGCAACAAUUGGUUAGAUUUUUAGGAAAAGGAUUAUAUCAAAGCGGCUGUGGUAUGGUGCUAUCCAUUAAAGCUGGGGGAGUUGGAUUAACUUUAACUGCUGCAAGCUUUGCAGAACAAUCCUGGACUCCAGGUGACCUGAUUCAGGUCAAAGAUCGUGCUCAUAGAAUUGGCCUGGUCUCAUCAGUAAAUAUAUACUAAUUGUUGGCAAAUGAUACUGUUCACGACAUCAUAUGGUAGGUUUUGGUAUAGCAUUGCCUUAACAUUUAUUAUGCAUUGAUGAUAUAAAUUUUUACAUCAUACGGAUGUGGUGCAAUUCAAACUGGAUAAUGUGGGGCAGGUACAUUUCUACAUCUUCUUGAACUAUCACAUGUAAUGCAAAAUGUACAUAAUGCUUAGCUUCAAGGUUUCCAUUCUGGUUUAUAUUCAUAUUUUGUCAAGAUUUAUACUCAAGUAGUAUUUGAGAGUUACUUUUUGAUGUUUUUGAGAAACCAUUCUGAAUUUUAGUUAUUGAAAAAUCAGAUGUUAGAUGGCCAUGAGAACACCUUAGUUGUGCCAAAUAAUCAGCCAUUGAGUAGCCCUGCAAAGCAUACUACUAUUGAGCAUAGCCCUUUAAGGCAGAGAACUCUUGACCAGUUUAUCAGAAGAUGUGAUAACGUGGAUAGGUCAGAAGUCGGAACAUCAGCCUGAACCGAAACGGCCCUGUCAGUCAUGACUCACAAGAUAUGCAAAAUGGAUUUCCAUUUUCGCAGAUACGUGGCCAGGGGCAAGUGAAUCGGAACUUAAAUGUUUAUGUCUACAUGCAGAACCAGAUGUGCUUACAUGGGGAAUUCACCUUUGACUACUCAAAUGCCUUUUGAAGCUGAAAUCCGUUGUACAACAAAUAAUAGAUUUUGAAUAGAACUGACUACACUAAACUAUGUUGCUUGUGCUGGAGAUAAUGGUUUGGUUAUGUGAAAUAUGUGUUGGAAGAAAAUGUUGAUAAAGUCACCCAUCAUAUUUUAGGUUUCCACUUAUUGUUCUUAACUUUUUGCUUCCCUAUCGUUUGUUUUAGUUUGGGGCUCUGUACAGAGUAGUACAUUAUCAUAUAUGAAUGAGACUUGUAAAUUUCUUUA
Molecule: long non-coding RNA, 2685 nt
Organism: Arachis duranensis
Lineage: Eukaryota; Viridiplantae; Streptophyta; Magnoliopsida; Fabales; Fabaceae
Exons: 5
Source: RefSeq, a predicted model, not a curated record